UACGUAGGCAGCGAGCGUUGUUCGGAGUUACUGGGCGUAAAGGGUGUGUAGGCGGUCUUUUAAGUUUGGUGUGAAAUCUCCCGCUUAACCGGGAGGGUGCGCCGAAUACUGAGGGACUAGAGUGCGGGAGAGGAAAGUGGAAUUCCUGGUGUAGCGGUGAAAUGCGCAGAUAUCAGGAGGAACACCGGUGGCGAAGGCGGGAUCCUGGGCCAGUACUGACGCUGAGGAGCGAAAGCGUGGGGAGCAAACAGG
RNAcentral lists this ribosomal RNA (252 nucleotides) under uncultured bacterium. Its description in RNAcentral is "partial 16S ribosomal RNA". It matches the Rfam family "Bacterial small subunit ribosomal RNA", at positions 524 to 776 of the family's 1533-position model. The record is from RNAcentral.